This 253-nucleotide ribosomal RNA is filed under the name uncultured bacterium. RNAcentral describes it as "partial 16S ribosomal RNA". It matches the Rfam family "Bacterial small subunit ribosomal RNA", at positions 524 to 776 of the family's 1533-position model. The record is from RNAcentral.
UACAGAGGUCUCAAGCGUUGUUCGGAAUCACUGGGCGUAAAGGGUGCGUAGGCGGCUUGGUAAGUCAGAUGUGAAAGCUCAGGGCUCAACCCUGAAAUUGCAUCCGAUACUGCCAGGCUAGAGAACUGGAGAGGUGUCUAGAAUUCUCGGUGUAGCAGUGAAAUGCGUAGAUAUCGAGAGGAAUACCAAUGGCGAAGGCAGGACACUGGACAGUUUCUGACGCUGAGGCACGAAGGCUAGGGUAGCGAACGGG